GUCACUUUUGGAGUAACUUUUCCCCCACUAAAACAAAAGUCAAGAAUCACUUUUCUUUUACAUAAAAAAAUGUAAGAAUCUAUUAAUGUCUAAAACAUUACUCUUUUUUCUAGUUCUAGUAGAAGAAACGAUGAAGAUCUUUGGCAAAACCGUGCUUCCAGGCCAAAUCAUACUUUUUGCCUCUGGGCUUCUGUUUUUGGCAUCAACAACUUAUGAUGUGCAUAGAUCAAUCAAGAAUAACCAAACACCACCUUCUGAGGAACAACUCAAAGCUCUUGAAGAUUAUAUAAAAUCGGUUCGUCGCUCACCUUAAUUGUGGCAUAUGUUCCACCACGUCAUUCAUCCUAUCUCCACUAGUGUUCAUAGAUCAUAAACAAAAUGGUUUUUAUAAAUUUAAUUUUUGAAAUCUUAUUAAUACUAGACAACGGAUGCACGAGUCUAAAUGUGUGAUGCACGAGUCUAUUGUAUGUUAUUAUUAUUUUUAUUUUGUCGAUGGAGACUUACUUCUGGAGUCAACGGAUCCCUCCUCUGUUAGUAAUUGUUAUUUGAGUUAUGUUAUCAGGUGUCUCAAAAAUGGAAAAAAGCUUUACGAGAAUAUUUUUUAUAUUUUUAAAUGUUGAUUAUACAAA
Molecule: long non-coding RNA, 629 nt
Organism: Trifolium pratense (red clover)
Lineage: Eukaryota; Viridiplantae; Streptophyta; Magnoliopsida; Fabales; Fabaceae
Exons: 2
Source: RefSeq, a predicted model, not a curated record